This 1287-nucleotide long non-coding RNA is filed under the name Gallus gallus (chicken). RNAcentral's name for it is "lncRNA (ENSGALG00010019440.1)". The record is from RNAcentral. Lineage: Eukaryota; Metazoa; Chordata; Aves; Galliformes; Phasianidae.
UGGAGGAGGCACAGGCACAGAGGCGAGGCCACAGCAGCCCUCCCGCACUGACACGCAGCACAAACAUCGAAGUGGAAGAAGGCCCCGCAGCUGCAGGGGGCAAAUUCCACACAGUCAUCGACUUUCCGUCUGAAAGGUAAAGAGGACUUUCUUUCCCAGCACCUUCCUAUCAGGCGUGGUUGGGUGGGCUUUUGUGGGUUUUUCUCCACAAGUGCUAGUGCACAAACUUGCAGAAGCUACGUGACGUUAAUGGUGCGUGUGGUGUUGUACUCCGUCUCCGCUCCCUUUGGACUCUGAGAUUCAACUAACGCACAGUUGCCUGACGGGCUCAGUGUAGCCACCAAAGGGGGCCAUUCCUUCCUCGCUGAGCAGGCAGUCACAAGUUGGAUCAAGGCACACGGACCUCUAUCCUGGCCUGUGCUGGCUGUACCUGGAAACGUUGGGGUUUUCCAGCUUUCCGGGCCGCGUGCCUGAAACCAAUUCCAGUUCUCCUCUAAGCAGAGCUGUUGGUCAGACUUGCUGGCACUAGAGACUAAACAUGGCAGUGAGGUGAGGCCGAUGAGCGGUUAAUGCCAGAGUCAGAGAUGCUUCUGAAUUCCCUCCAUGGCUGCACGGUUCCUCAGAAAGCAGUUACGCCUGCCAGCUCAAUCAAAGCCAUCCCUUCGAUGCUGUCCUGGACAGCUGUGCAGCCUCUGCUCGCAUGCUCUGCAUCCGGGUUGACAUGGCUGAGGGGAAUGUAGCCAGCAAGACUCCAGGGCUGAGCUCUAGGAAUGGAACCAUUGUCAACCGUGUGAAUCAGAGCGAGCUUCUAAGUUGUGUUUCAGCAGGAACCAGGCAGUGCUAGGAACAAGCAAGUGUUGGCAAGAGCUCAGGGCAGCUCUUCCCUCGCCCUGCACCAUGCACGACUCACACCGCUCACUCUUUUCUCCCUCCAGACCAAGUCCACCCAGCAGGGUGAAGGAAUCCCCAGCAUGCAGUUGGUGUUCCUGCUUCAGGCCAAGAAAGCCAUCCUCUGUGGCCAAACGCCAACUGCAGUGCGAUGCCAGGGAGCCCUCAGAAACAGAGGUGGUGGUCCUGGCAGGUAAGGGUGCACAUCCAGCUGUCAAAACACUGCUUGUCAGCGCCAUCGAAUUCAUGCUUGCAGUGGGCUUGUUCCUCCUCCUAGCGUUCAAGCCCGUGCCUACCAUCUUCGGUUCAGCCCUGUCUUUCUUUCCCAAAUGAGUCUCUGGUGAAGUCAUGAUCUGGACCUGCCGGAGCACACCCCUCUCGUGCCUUUCCCCGAGUAGU